CCUACGGGGGGCAGCAGUGGGGAAUAUUGCACAAUGGGGGAAACCCUGAUGCAGCAACGCCGCGUGAGUGAAGAAGUAUUUCGGUAUGUAAAGCUCUAUCAGCAGGGAAGAAGCAAGACGGUACCUGACGAAGAAGCACCGGCUAACUACGUGCCAACAGCCGCGGUAAUACGUAGGGGGCAAGCGUUAUCCGGAUUUACUGGGUGGAAAGGGAGCGUAGACGGUGUUGCAAGUCUGAGGGGAAAGCCCCGGGCUUAACCCUGGGACUGCGGUGGAAACUGUUAGACUAGAGUGCUGGAGAGGUAAGUGGAAUUCCUGGUGUAGCGGUGAAAUGCGUAGAUAUUAGGCGGAACACCAGUGGCGAAGGCGUCUUACUGGACAGUAACUGACGUUGAGGCUCGAAAGCGUGGGGAGCAAACAGGAUUAGAUACCCCGGUAGUC
This 441-nucleotide ribosomal RNA is filed under the name uncultured bacterium. RNAcentral describes it as "partial 16S ribosomal RNA". It matches the Rfam family "Bacterial small subunit ribosomal RNA", at positions 338 to 795 of the family's 1533-position model. The record is from RNAcentral.